CCUACGGGUGGCAGCAGUGAGGAAUAUUGGUCAAUGGACGAGAGUCUGAACCAGCCAAGUAGCGUGAAGGAUGACUGCCCUAUGGGUUGUAAACUUCUUUUAUAUGGGAAUAAAAUGUUCCACGUGUGGGAAUUUGUCUGUACCAUAUGAAUAAGGAUCGGCUAACUCCGUGCCAGCAGCCGCGGUAAUACGGAGGAUCCGAGCGUUAUCCGGAUUUAAGGGGUUUAAAGGGAGCGUAGGCGGAUUGUUAAGUCAGUUGUGAAAGUGUGCGGCUCAACCGUCAAAUGGCAGUUGAAACUGGAAGUCUUGAGUACAGUAGAGGUAGGCGGAAUGCGUGGGGUAGCGGUGAAAUGCUUAGAUAUCACGAAGAACUCCGAUUGCGAAGGCAGCUCACUGGACUGCAACUGACACUGAGGCUCGAAAGUGUGGGUAGCGAACAGGAUUAGAUACCCUAGUAGUC
Molecule: ribosomal RNA, 460 nt
Filed under: uncultured bacterium
Lineage: Bacteria
Description: partial 16S ribosomal RNA
Rfam family: Bacterial small subunit ribosomal RNA
Source: RNAcentral